Molecule: ribosomal RNA, 2596 nt
Filed under: Clostridioides difficile R20291
Lineage: Bacteria; Bacillati; Bacillota; Clostridia; Peptostreptococcales; Peptostreptococcaceae
Description: bacterial LSU rRNA
Rfam family: Bacterial large subunit ribosomal RNA
Source: RNAcentral
GAAGGUAAUAGUCCUGUAUGUUAAACGAGAAGACUUCAGAUAUGAUCCAGAGUACCACGGGACACGUGAAACCCUGUGGGAAGCAGGAGGGACCACCCUCCAAGGCUAAAUACUACCUAGUGACCGAUAGCGUAUAGUACCGUGAGGGAAAGGUGAAAAGAACCCCGGGAGGGGAGUGAAAUAGAACCUGAAACCCUGCACUUACAAGCUGUGGAAGCACAUUUCUUGUGUGACCGCGUACUUUUUGUAGAACGGGCCAACGAGUUACGUUAAGUAGCAAGGUUAAGCACUUAAGGUGCGGAGCCGUAGCGAAAGCGAGUUUUAACUGAGCGUUCAGUUACUUGACGUAGACCCGAAACCGGGCGACCUACCCAUGAGCAGGAUGAAGCGAAAGUAAAAUUUCGUGGAGGUCCGAACCCACGAGCGUUGAAAAGCUCGGGGAUGACUUGUGGGUAGCGGUGAAAUUCCAAUCGAGCCCGGAGAUAGCUGGUUCUCCCCGAAAUAGCUUUAGGGCUAGCCUCAAGGUGAGAGAUACGGAGGUAGAGCACUGAAUGUCCUAGGGGGUAUUGCACCUACCGAAGACUAUCAAACUCCGAAUGCCGUCAUCUUAUACUUGGGAGUCAGACUGUGGGUGAUAAGAUUCAUAGUCGAAAGGGCAACAGCCCAGAUCGUCAGCUAAGGUCCCUAAAUGUAAGUUAAGUGGUAAAGGAUGUGGGAUUGCACAGACAACCAGGAUGUUGGCUUAGAAGCAGCCACUCAUUCAAAGAGUGCGUAAUAGCUCACUGGUCGAGUGAUCCUGCGCCGAAGAUUUCCGGGGCUAAAACUUACUACCGAAGCUACGGCAUCAGUAAUGAUGGGUAGGGGAGCUUCCCAUACGGGUUGAAGCAUGACCGUAAGGACAUGUGGACAGUAUGGGAGUGAGAAUGUUGGCAUGAGUAGCGAGAUGUGGGUGAGAAUCCCACAGGCCGUAAACCCAAGGUUUCCAGGGGAAGGUUCGUCCGCCCUGGGUUAGUCGGGACCUAAGCUGAGGCCGAAAGGCGUAGGUGAUGGACAACAGGUUGAUAUUCCUGUACUACCGAUAACCGUUUGAGAGAAGGGAUGACACAGUAGGAUAAGCUAAGCACACUGUUGGUUAUGUGUGCCCAAGCAUUGAGGCAGUCAAAGUAGGCAAAUCCGCUUUGAUAAUGCUGGGAUGUGAUGGGGAGCGAAAUUUAGUAGCGAAGUAGCUGAUUUCACACUGUCAAGAAAAGUCUCUAUCGAGGUUAAAGGUACCCGUACCGCAAACCGACACAGGUGGGUGAGGAGAGUAUCCUAAGGCCAGCGAGAGAACUGUUGUUAAGGAACUCGGCAAAAUGACCCCGUAACUUAGGGAUAAGGGGUGCCACCAUCAGGUGGCCGCAGAGAAUAGGCCCAAGCGACUGUUUACCAAAAACAUAGGUUUCUGCUAAGUCGCAAGACGAUGUAUAGGAGCUGACGCCUGCCCGGUGCUGGAAGGUUAAGGGGAUCUGUUAGAGCAAUCGAAGCAGUGAACUUAAGCCCCAGUAAACGGCGGCCGUAACUAUAACGGUCCUAAGGUAGCGAAAUUCCUUGUCGGGUAAGUUCCGACCCGCACGAAAGGCGUAACGAUUUGGGCACUGUCUCAACAACAGACUCGGUGAAAUUGUAAUUCCGGUGAAGAUGCCGGAUACCUGCGACAGGACGGAAAGACCCCAUGGAGCUUUACUGUAGCUUGACAUUGGGUCUUGGUACUACAUGUACAGGAUAGGUGGGAGGCUUUGAAACCAGGACGCCAGUUUUGGCGGAGCCAUCCUUGGGAUACCACCCUUGUAGUACUGGGACUCUAACCAUAGGCCAUGAAUCUGGUCUUGGGACACUGUCAGGUGGGCAGUUUGACUGGGGCGGUCGCCUCCCAAAAGGUAACGGAGGCGCUCAAAGGUUCUCUCAGUACGGUCGGAAAUCGUACGUAGAGUGUAAAGGCAAAAGAGAGCUUGAUUGCAAGACAUACAGGUCGAGCAAGGAUGAAAAUCGGACUUAGUGAUCCGGUGGUUCUGCGUGGAAGGGCCAUCGCUCAACGGAUAAAAGCUACCCUGGGGAUAACAGGCUUAUCUCCCCCAAGAGUCCACAUCGACGGGGAGGUUUGGCACCUCGAUGUCGGCUCAUCACAUCCUGGGGCUGUAGUAGGUCCCAAGGGUUGGGCUGUUCGCCCAUUAAAGUGGUACGCGAGCUGGGUUCAGAACGUCGUGAGACAGUUCGGUCCCUAUCCGUCGCAGGCGUAGGAAAUUUGAGAAGACCUGUCCUUAGUACGAGAGGACCGGGAUGGACGUACCUCUGGUGUACCAGUUGUCCUGCCAAGGGCAUGGCUGGGUAGCUAUGUACGGAAUGGAUAAGCGCUGAAAGCAUCUAAGCGCGAAGCCAACUUCAAGAUAAGAUUUCCCACCGCAAGGGUAAGACUCCAGAAAGACUAUCUGGUUGAUAGGUCGAAGGUGUAAGUGCAGCAAUGUAUUUAGCUUAUCGAUACUAAUAGGUCGAGGACUUGACCAAUAUUUAUUUGAUGUUCAUUCAUUAAGAUAUAUGUGUAGUUUUUAGAGUGCUAACU